UUUGUUAUGGUGCUUUUUUUCUGUGUUUGCUUGUUCUUUCAUUGGUUAUGUUAUCAGCUUUGAAACUAAUUUUAUUGAUAUUGACUGAGAAAAAACAAAUAAACAAAAAAGUAUGAAGGAGGUAUUAGUUAUUACAAAAAUCAGCUACGUAUUGCCUGCUUUAUUUUUCCAUAUCAUGCUUCACAAAACUGCAAAAACAAAAGAAAAAAUCACUCUGAAAGAAUCAAUGGCCACCAAGAGAAAAAUUGAUGCUUUUAAUCUUCAGUAACUGCCUGCCACACUUGACCAAAGAUAGGUUUUGGCUCUGCUGCGUUUUUCUUUCGUACCUGCAUCAUCGUUGUUUAUGUCUGGAAGGUUCAAGGUCCACCAUAAAUACAUACAUCUUACACCUAUGAAUGCAAUUAUAUAUGUUUGUAUUAAAAUAUAAGAUAAACUCGAUUUAUAUUUUUGUGGUUUUAAUUUUUUUUUUUUCAAAUGACAUUCUCUGUUUUUUUUUAAUUAGCAUUUUGUGAAUAACUUAUAUUCUUACAAAAAAAUUAGACUAUUAAUUAUUUUAAUAAAAUUAUUAAAACAAUUUUUUAAAAAAAUACAAGAAAUAAAAGAUAAUGAAAAAAAUCUCACCUCACAAGGCAUAUGCCACACCCAAAUCUUUGUUUUCACUCCUGACACCUGGGACCGGAGCCCAA
Molecule: long non-coding RNA, 686 nt
Filed under: Theobroma cacao (cacao)
Lineage: Eukaryota; Viridiplantae; Streptophyta; Magnoliopsida; Malvales; Malvaceae
Description: long non-coding RNA (TCAC_LNC003395)
Source: RNAcentral